CAGCCGCCGCGGUAAUACCGGCAGCCCGAGUGGUGGCCACUAUUAUUGGGUCUAAAGCGUCCGUAGCCGGCCUAGUAAGUCUCUCGGGAAAUCCGGCGGCUUAACCGUCGGGCGUCCGAGAGAUACUGCUAGGCUUGGGACCGGGAGAGGCCGAGGGUACUCCCGGGGUAGGGGUGAAAUCCUGUAAUCCCGGGAGGACCACCGGUGGCGAAGGCGCUCGGCAGGAACGGGUCCGACGGUGAGGGACGAAGGCCAGGGGAGCGAGCCGGAUUAGAUACCCGGGUAGUCCUGGCUGUAAACGAUGCGGGCUAGGUGUCGGGUGAGCUACGGGCUCGCCCGGUGCCGGAGGGAAGCCAUGAAGCCCGCCACCUGGGGAGUACGGCCGCAAGGCUGAAACUUAGAGGAAUUGGCGGG
This 414-nucleotide ribosomal RNA is filed under the name uncultured microorganism. RNAcentral's name for it is "bacterial SSU rRNA". It matches the Rfam family "Archaeal small subunit ribosomal RNA", at positions 459 to 872 of the family's 1478-position model. The record is from RNAcentral.